UACAGAGGUCUCAAGCGUUGUUCGGAUUCAUUGGGCGUAAAGGGUGCGUAGGUGGCGCUGUAAGUCGGGUGUGAAAUUUCGGAGCUUAACUCCGAAACUGCAUUCGAUACUGCGGUGCUUGAGGACUGGAGAGGAGAACUGGAAUUCAUGGUGUAGCGUGAAAUGCGUAGAGAUCAUGAGGAAGACCGUGGCGAAGGCGGGUCUCGUGGACAGUUCCUGACACUGAGGCACGAAGGCCAGGGGAGCAAACGGG
Molecule: ribosomal RNA, 253 nt
Filed under: uncultured bacterium
Lineage: Bacteria
Description: partial 16S ribosomal RNA
Rfam family: Bacterial small subunit ribosomal RNA
Source: RNAcentral